Molecule: ribosomal RNA, 1327 nt
Filed under: Cutibacterium granulosum
Lineage: Bacteria; Bacillati; Actinomycetota; Actinomycetes; Propionibacteriales; Propionibacteriaceae
Description: partial 23S ribosomal RNA
Rfam family: Bacterial large subunit ribosomal RNA
Source: RNAcentral
CAGUUGAAAAUGGAGGGGAUGAGCUGUGGAUAGGGGUGAAAGGCCAAUCAAACACCGUGAUAGCUGGUUCUCCCCGAAAUGCAUUUAGGUGCAGCGUUGUGUGGUUCGUGUCGGAGGUAGAGCACUGGAUGGUCUAGGGGGCCUAUCAGCUUACCGAAACCAGCCAAACUCCGAAUGCCGGCACGUGGAGCGCAGCAGUGAGACGGCGGGGGAUAAGCUUCGUCGUCGAGAGGGAAACAGCCCAGAUCAUCAGCUAAGGCCCCUAAGUGAUAGCUAAGUGGAAAAGGAUGUGGAGUUGCGUAGACAACCAGGAGGUUGGCUUGGAAGCAGCCAUCCUUGAAAGAGUGCGUAAUAGCUCACUGGUCAAGUGAUUCCGCGCCGACAAUGUAGCGGGGCUCAAGUUAUCCGCCGAAGCUGUGGCAACUUUUUUUGAGUUGGGUAGGGGAGCGUCGUGUUCGUGGUGAAGCAGCCUGGUGAUGGGUUGUGGAGUGGAUGCGAGUGAGAAUGCAGGCAUGAGUAGCGAAUGACGGGUGGGAAACCCGUCCGCCGAAUAUCCAAGGGUUCCAGGGUCAAGUUAAUCUGCCCUGGGUGAGUCGGGACCUAAGGCGAGGCCGACAGGCGUAGUCGAUGGACGACCAGUUGAUAUUCUGGUACCGGUGUAGCACCGUCCGUGUCGAGGUGUGUGAUGCUAAGCGUGCGAGUGUCCUGGUGAUCCCUUCGGGGUGAUCUUGUGGCGUGAGUGUGUGAACCGAUCAUGUAGUAGACAAGCUGCGGAGGGACACAGUGAGGUAGCUCGUCCCCGGCGAUGGUUGUCCGGGGCUAAAUGUGUGGACUGUCUGGUAGGUAAAUCCGUCAGACGUUGAGUUGAGGCAUGAUGGCGAGCCAUGUUUGUGUGGUGAGCGAGUGAUCCUGUGCUGUCGAGAAAAGCUUCGUGAGCGAGGUGUGAGCCGCCCGUACCCUAAACCGACACUGGUGGAUUGGUAGAGUAUACCGAGGCGAUCGAGAGAAUCAUGGUGAAGGAACUCGGCAAAAUGCCCCCGUAACUUUGGAAGAAGGGGGACCUGAGCUGUUGCCGCCACGUGCUGGUGGUUGCGGUGAGGGGCGCAGAGAAUUGGGGGAAGCGACUGUUUACCAAAAACACAGGUCCGUGCGAAGUCGUAAGACGAUGUAUACGGACUGACUCCUGCCCGGUGCUGGAAGGUUAAGGGGAACUGUUAGCUUUGGCGACGCGGUGAACUUAAGCCCCAGUAAACGGCGGUGGUAACUAUAACCAUCCUAAGGUAGCGAAAUUCCUUGUCGGGUAAGUUCCGACCUGCACGAAUGGAGU